Molecule: ribosomal RNA, 1184 nt
Filed under: metagenome
Description: SSU rRNA
Rfam family: Eukaryotic small subunit ribosomal RNA
Source: RNAcentral
AUUAAAGUUGUUGCAGUUAAAAAGCUCGUAGUUGGAUUUCUGGUAUGGUGCGCCUGGUCCACCGGGGUAACCCGUGUGAGUGCCGGUGUGCGCCUGCCAUCCUUGUACAGAACGGCUCUACCCUUUAUUGGGUCGGAGUCGCCAUGUACAUCUUUUACUUUGAAAAAAUUAGAGUGUUUAAAGCAGGCUUGCGCUAUGAAUACAUUAGCAUGGAAUAAUAAUUUAGGACUUUGUUUCUAUUUUGUUGGUUUCUAGAGAUGAAGUAAUGAUUGAUAGGGAUAAUUGGCGUGCUAGUAUUCAUCGGCCAGAGGUGAAAUUCUUGGAUCGAUGAAGACUAACUUAUGCGAAAGCAUUCACCAAGGAUGUCUUCUUUAAUCAAGAACGAAAGUUGGGGGAUCGAAGACGAUCAGAUACCGUCGUAGUCUCAACCAUAAACUAUACCGACUAGGGAUUAGUGGAAGUUGCUUUUUCGACUCCAUUAGCACCUUAUGAGAAAUCAGAAGUCUUUGGGUUCUGGGGGGAGUAUGGUCGCAAGGCUGAAACUUAAAGGAAUUGACGGAAGGGCACCACCAGGAGUGGAGCCUGCGGCUUAAUUUGACUCAACACGGGGAAACUUACCAGGUCCAGACAUAGUGAGGAUUGACAGAUUGAAGUUCUUUCUUGAUCCUAUGGGUGGUGGUGCAUGGCCGUUCUUAGUUGGUGGAGUGAUUUGUCUGGUUAAUUCCGUUAACGAACGAGACCUCGACCCACUAAAUAGACUGGCGUACCUUAGGGUACGUGCAGGACUUCUUAGAGGGACUGUCGGUUUUUAGCCGAAGGAAGUUCGAGGCAAUAACAGGUCUGUGAUGCCCUUAGAUGUUCUGGGCCGCACGCGCGCUACACUGAUACGUUCAUCGAGCUUACAACCUUGACUGAGAGGUCUGGGUAAUCUUUUUAAAGCGUAACGUGCUGGGGAUAGAUUAUUGUAAUUAUUAAUCUUCAACGAGGAAUUCCUAGUAAGCGCGAGUCAUCAACUCGCACUGAUUACGUCCCUGCCCUUUGUACACACCGCCCGUCGCUGCUACCGAUUGAAUGCAUUAGUGAGCCACAGGGAUUGUGGCACUUAACCGGGGCAACUCGGUUCUGUGUUGUGAGAACUGGUGCAAACUUGCGCAUUUAGAGGAAGCAAAAGUCGUAACAAGGUU